GAUGAACGCUGGCGGCGUGCCUAAUACAUGCAAGUCGAGCGAACGGACGAGAAGCUUGCUUCUCUGAUGUUAGCGGCGGACGGGUGAGUAACACGUGGAUAACCUACCUAUAAGACUGGGAUAACUUCGGGAAACCGGAGCUAAUACCGGAUAAUAUUUUGAACCGCAUGGUUCAAAAGUGAAAGACGGUCUUGCUGUCACUUAUAGAUGGAUCCGCGCUGCAUUAGCUAGUUGGUAAGGUAACGGCUUACCAAGGCAACGAUGCAUAGCCGACCUGAGAGGGUGAUCGGCCACACUGGAACUGAGACACGGGGCCCACACUCCUACGGGAGGCAGCAGUAGGGAAUCUUCCGCAAUGGGCGAAAGCCUGACGGAGCAACGCCGCGUGAGUGAUGAAGGUCUUCGGAUCGUAAAACUCUGUUAUUAGGGAAGAACAUAUGUGUAAGUAACUGUGCACAUCUUGACGGUACCUAAUCAGAAAGCCACGGCUAACUACGUGCCAGCAGCCGCGGUAAUACGUAGGUGGCAAGCGUUAUCCGGAAUUAUUGGGCGUAAAGCGCGCGUAGGCGGUUUUUUAAGUCUGAUGUGAAAGCCCACGGCUCAACCGUGGAGGGUCAUUGGAAACUGGAAAACUUGAGUGCAGAAGAGGAAAGUGGAAUUCCAUGUGUAGCGGUGAAAUGCGCAGAGAUAUGGAGGAACACCAGUGGCGAAGGCGACUUUCUGGUCUGUAACUGACGCUGAUGUGCGAAAGCGUGGGGAUCAAACAGGAUUAGAUACCCUGGUAGUCCACGCCGUAAACGAUGAGUGCUAAGUGUUAGGGGGUUUCCGCCCCUUAGUGCUGCAGCUAACGCAUUAAGCACUCCGCCUGGGGAGUACGACCGCAAGGUUGAAACUCAAAGGAAUUGACGGGGGCCCGCACAAGCGGUGGAGCAUGUGGUUUAAUUCGAAGCAACGCGAAGAACCUUACCAAAUCUUGACAUCCUUUGACAACUCUAGAGAUAGAGCUUUCCCCUUCGGGGGACAAAGUGACAGGUGGUGCAUGGUUGUCGUCAGCUCGUGUCGUGAGAUGUUGGGUUAAGUCCCGCAACGAGCGCAACCCUUAAGCUUAGUUGCCAUCAUUAAGUUGGGCACUCUAAGUUGACUGCCGGUGACAAACCGGAGGAAGGUGGGGAUGACGUCAAAUCAUCAUGCCCCUUAUGAUUUGGGCUACACACGUGCUACAAUGGACAAUACAAAGGGCAGCGAAACCGUGAGGUCAAGCAAAUCCCAUAAAGUUGUUCUCAGUUCGGAUUGUAGUCUGCAACUCGACUACAUGAAGCUGGAAUCGCUAGUAAUCGUAGAUCAGCAUGCUACGGUGAAUACGUUCCCGGGUCU
RNAcentral lists this ribosomal RNA (1374 nucleotides) under uncultured bacterium. Its description in RNAcentral is "bacterial SSU rRNA". It matches the Rfam family "Bacterial small subunit ribosomal RNA", at positions 28 to 1381 of the family's 1533-position model. The record is from RNAcentral.